Molecule: ribosomal RNA, 253 nt
Filed under: uncultured bacterium
Lineage: Bacteria
Description: partial 16S ribosomal RNA
Rfam family: Bacterial small subunit ribosomal RNA
Source: RNAcentral
UACGAAGGGGGCUAGCGUUGCUCGGAAUCACUGGGCGUAAAGCGCACGUAGGCGGCUUUCUAAGUCAGGGGUGAAAUCCUGGAGCUCAACUCCAGAACUGCCUUUGAUACUGGGAAGCUCGAGUCCGGAAGAGGUGAGUGGAACUCCGAGUGUAGAGGUGAAAUUCGUAGAUAUUCGGAAGAACACCAGUGGCGAAGGCGACUUACUGGACACAUAUUGACGCUGAGGUGCGAAAGCGUGGGGAGCAAACAGG